GACGAACGCUGGCGGCGUGCCUAAUACAUGCAAGUUGAGCGCUGAAGGUUGGUACUUGUACCAACUGGAUGAGCAGCGAACGGGUGAGUAACGCGUGGGGAAUCUGCCUUUGAGCGGGGGACAACAUUUGGAAACGAAUGCUAAUACCGCAUAAAAACUUUAAACACAAGUUUUAAGUUUGAAAGAUGCAAUUGCAUCACUCAAAGAUGAUCCCGCGUUGUAUUAGCUAGUUGGUGAGGUAAAGGCUCACCAAGGCGAUGAUACAUAGCCGACCUGAGAGGGUGAUCGGCCACAUUGGGACGGAGACACGGCCCAAACUCCUACGGGAGGCAGCAGUAGGGAAUCUUCGGCAAUGGACGAAAGUCUGACCGAGCAACGCCGCGUGAGUGAAGAAGGUUGUCGGAUCGUAAAACUCUGUUGGUAGAGAAGAACGUUGGUGAGAGUGGAAAGCUCAUCAAGUGACGGUAACUACCCAGAAAGGGACGGCUAACUACGUG
RNAcentral lists this ribosomal RNA (497 nucleotides) under uncultured bacterium. RNAcentral's name for it is "partial 16S ribosomal RNA". It matches the Rfam family "Bacterial small subunit ribosomal RNA", at positions 28 to 507 of the family's 1533-position model. The record is from RNAcentral.